This 1312-nucleotide long non-coding RNA is filed under the name Callithrix jacchus (white-tufted-ear marmoset). RNAcentral's name for it is "lncRNA (ENSCJAG00000085183.1)". Lineage: Eukaryota; Metazoa; Chordata; Mammalia; Primates; Cebidae. The record is from RNAcentral.
AUGAUUUCAGUCUUGGCUUACUACUCAAUCAAAUGGUGGGGUGGGUGUGGAGAUCUAAGAAAAGUGUUAAGAACUGGAAGAGGCCGAGGCGGAUGGAUCACGAGGUCAACAGAUCGAGACCAUCCUGGUCAACAUGGUGAAACCCCAUCUCUACUAAAAAUACAAAAAAUUAGCUGGGCAUGGUGGCGCGUGCCUGUAAUCCGAGCUACUCAGGAGGCUGAGGCAGGAGAAUUGCCUGAACCCAGGGGGCGGAGGUUGUGGUGAGCCGAGAUCAUGCCAUUGCACUCCAGCCUGGGUAACAAGAGCAAAACUCCGUCUCAAAAAAAAAAAAAAAAAAAAAAAAAAAAAAGAUGCUUAUAUUGGGCCCGGCACAUAGCACUUGCACAUAUAUUGGCAAUUAAAACUACAGCUAGAUUGAAGGAAUAAGUUCUGAUUUCUCUAGCACAUAAAGUAACUAUAGUUAACAGUAAUUACUGUAUAUUUGCAAAUAGCUAUAAGAAUUUUGAAUGUUUCCAACACAAAAAAUUUUAAAUAUUUGAGGUGGUAGAUAUGCCAAUCACACUGAUUUUAUCGUUACACAUUGUAUACAUGCAUAGAAAUCUCUCUCUGUACCACAUAAAUAUGUACAACUAUGUCAAUUCAAAAUUUUAAAAAUUAUUACUUAACUUGAACGCCUUUAAAAGAAAGUAUAGUCUCAUUUCUAUUUCUUUUCUGUUUAAGUAUGUGUGACUCUGCUUUAGAAUUCUGCAGACUUCUCUAAAAGAUAGUGCAGACAAAUUUGUUAUAGUAAAUACUUUUGUAAGGUCAUAUAUUGAAAUAUAAUAAUUCUAAGUCACUGCCCUAAAUGUGAAAUUCUAAUUACACAAUUUAGCAUAAGAUCCUAGCAGCCAGGGAGCCUGAGUUAAGUAUUAACAAGGCUAAGUAUUUUCAUGUAGCACGUAAUGCAGAAUAAAGUAGUGAAAAGCAAGUGGAGUAUGAAUCUUGGCAUCUUCAGUUAUUAACCUCUUUGAGCCCUGAGAUUCUUAUUUAUCUCUUAAUGGGGUAAUAAUACCUAUGCACAAAAUUGAUGAGAAGAUUAAAUAAUAUACAUAAAAGACUUAGUAAAGUGCUUGGCCUGUAUAGAAGGAACCCAAUAAUUGGUAAGCAUUAUUUUAUUAUUAUUAUUUUUAUUAUUGCUAUGAUCAUCAUCUUAGGUCCCAGAAAUUAGAGGAUGGACCUUUUCUUACUUCUUGUGAGGAAAUAACAUCCUCAGGGGAAGUUCACGGGGAACACUUUGGAAUCUUAGAGGGUAUGCUUUGGUCUAUUGCAAAGA